GGGGGUGUAAAGGUUUCGACGGGGGUUUUGAAACACGAUAAGCGAGUAGAGGAACGCACACUCUUAAAACGGCGUACGUUUUAAAAUUAGACGACAACGAUAAUUUUGAAUUAGCUGCUGCUUAAGUCAGCACUCGUCCUGCCUUAGAGUACCACGGCUUUGGUAAGGGCGUCGAUCAGUGGUGAACGUUGCUUGGCGAUGACUGUAGCCCUGUGAUGUAUCACAGUCUACCAAACACACAGGCGUGUCUGUUUGCCUUUGUGCAAGGGAAUGGGAUCUUCCGCAAUAACAGAAUACACUCGUAGAAGUUCGUGGGGAUAGGCUUUCGGACAGGAGUUCGAUUCUCCUCACCUCCACCA
This 359-nucleotide transfer-messenger RNA is filed under the name Oscillospiraceae. Its description in RNAcentral is "Ruminococcus_D sp900539095 Standard tmRNA". It matches the Rfam family "transfer-messenger RNA". Rfam says of the family: Bacterial tmRNA, also known as 10Sa RNA or SsrA, is named for its dual tRNA and mRNA-like properties. Its role is to liberate the mRNA from a stalled ribosome. The record is from RNAcentral. Lineage: Bacteria; Bacillati; Bacillota; Clostridia; Eubacteriales. RNAcentral also lists the same sequence under 1 other name.